This 76-nucleotide transfer RNA is filed under the name Paracoccus sp. (in: a-proteobacteria). Its description in RNAcentral is "tRNA-Val". It matches the Rfam family "tRNA". Rfam says of the family: Transfer RNA (tRNA) molecules are approximately 80 nucleotides in length. Their secondary structure includes four short double-helical elements and three loops (D, anti-codon, and T loops). The record is from RNAcentral. RNAcentral also lists the same sequence under 14 other names. Lineage: Bacteria; Pseudomonadati; Pseudomonadota; Alphaproteobacteria; Rhodobacterales; Paracoccaceae.
GGGCGGUUAGCUCAGUUGGUAGAGCGCUUCGUUUACACCGAAGAUGCCGGGGGUUCGAGUCCCUCACCGCCCACCA